GAGUGUAGUAUGAGAUCUCACCACCAGAGUGCAGCAUGGAGCAUGAAAAACUGCAGCAGGCUGCAACUUUUACUGCAGCCACACGAUGGCAGCAGUGAGCACUUGCACCUGUUGUACACCUGUUCAGACAGGUUAAGAAGUGGUUUUCUUUUCAUCGACUUGUUGCAUAAUUUAAAACAUAUGUAGAUGACAAUACAAGACUUUGACCUUUUGUGUUUACGCCGCAGGGUGACCCUGGGCCUCCUGGUCUUCCUGGUGAUCCAGGCUACCCAGGACCUCCCGUAAGUAUCUACUUCCACCUAAACCACCUGUGCCCCACAUCACACAUUAAGGCUGUGUAAGGUGACAAAACAUUUAGAGUUUGUAGCCUUUUGUAUUAAACUUCAUCAGUGUUAUUAUUGAUGAUGCACGAAUCUGGUGACCUUAAGUGGCCAUGGUGGUUAAAAUAAUGUUGAUGUUGUUCCAGGGUCCCUCUGGUGGACAGAAAGGAGAAAAAGGAGAACUAGGGGAAGCAGGCAAGAGAGGCAAACCUGGAAAAGAUGGCGAUCCUGGUCCUCCAGGGUUCCCUGUGAGUACUGUGAACAAACAAUUGACAAAUUAUGUUGUCAAACAUCUCUUAUUUAAGUUUUCCUUCUUUUUGUCACUAUCAGGGAAACAAAGGAGACCCAGGUCUGCCAGGGUCUCCAGGCAGAGACGGAGAGAGAGGACUGAAAGGUGAACGUGGAUACCCAGGUCCUCCAGGAGUGGUGAUCGGCGGGCAGAAUGGUGGUCGUGUUGGUCCUAAAGGUGAGCCUGGUUUCCCUGGAUCACCUGGAAUCAAAGGAGACAGAGGACAACCAGGUAAACACCUAACAUGUGCAUUUAGCUUCUUUUUCACUCCAGCAGUACCAUUCACACAUAUUGUUAGCUAGCUAAAGUUUUACAGAAUAGUGUUAUUUUUUAUAUCUUAUUAAGUUUUUAUGUUCUGUUUAAUGUUUAGUUUUAACUUCUUUAUCUGAAAGGAGUGGCACAUUGUCUAAUUGGUGAAAACAACGCAACAAAUGUAACAAGCUAACAAUGAGUCUAUAGCUCUGUUAAACUUGGCAGACUAGUUUCUGUCAGGAUUUCUUUUCUCUCCUGUUAGCUGGUCGGUUGUCUGUUGGUUGGUCGGUUGCCAUUUUUAUUCUGUGCAGAUGUA
Parambassis ranga (Indian glassy fish) is the source of this 1177-nucleotide long non-coding RNA. Lineage: Eukaryota; Metazoa; Chordata; Actinopteri; Ambassidae. The record is from Ensembl.